UUGGAACUCUCAAGAAAACCCUAAAACAAGACUUUAAAUAGUUCAGCCUAAAUAAGGAAACAAAAUCACAGAGUUUAAUAAUCCCUCGAAUUAGGUGACGACAUUUGUGACAACCUAUCAGGAGGCUAACGACUUAUCACAAAUGUCGUCAGCUCCUCUUUGUUUUUUAUACUCGCUGCUUUAGGCUGAAGACAAACUGUGACGUCCUAUCAACUUCUUGAUGACUUAUCACGAAUGUCGUCAAGUUUCUACCUCCUCUCUCAUGUUCUGCCUUAGGCUGACGGCAAUUUUGACGACCUAUCAGCUCCUUGACGGCUUAUCACAAAAUGUCGUCAUAACUCUAAACUCAGGUGCAUUUUCUUUCUGAGGCUGACGAUGAAGCUGAUAACUUAUCACAGGGCUGACGACUUAUCAGAAAUAUCGUCAGCCAUACUUCUCUUUCAAUUACUUUAGAUUUUAACUCCUUUGCUUCCAUCCUUGUUGGUUCUCUUGCAUCAUAGCUUCUAUUGUAAAAUCAAACAUAAAACAAUAAAAAACGACAAAAGUUGCUUAAGACUUUGCAGUUAUUCUUAGUUAAAAUCCUCAAAUAUGUUAGCAUUAGCUCACACAUCAACACCCUCAACUUAAAGCAAUUGUUUGUCCUCAAGCAACUCAACACAACUAAGAGAAUACAAAGUACAUUUGACAGUCAAUCAUCUAUAUCAUCUCAAAACACUUUCACCCUCUCCAAGGUCAGUCAAUUCAAGAACAAUGAAGAAUACCAAUGCAACAUACAGAAAUCAAUAUACGACAUUAAUUCAGCUACAUUAACCAUGCACCAGUAUUACACUCUCCAAUCAAGUUAGCAACUAGCAACAUAUCUGGUGUGCCCUCACAACAAAGAAAUCCCCCUUAUCUCAUAUCAGUAAUCCUAUACGUAACCAUGGGGACAAUCAAAACACUCACUCUCAGAAUAAAGUUCCAACCAAUGUAUGCCAAGUACCAUAGGCUAGCCCUUAUUUUUAAUACCCAAAUCUUCAGAUAGGUCAGCUAGGAUCACUAUAGGUCCUCUCUUAAGCUUGUGAUGUAGGUUAGGGGCUAGUAUGAUACUCGAUGGUAUUUAAAGUGACUAAGCCUCCUUGAUACUACACUAGCUUUUUGGGGUUUCACUUAUUAGCCUUUUCCACUCUUCUCUUUUACUGAUCACACUUAUUUAGGCUGGGUAUGGUUUUUUCCACAAUCACUUAUUCUUUUUCACAAUUUUUUUUCUUGCUCUUUUCCUCCGCACCCAACUUUUUUUUAUUCUUUUCUUUUAUGCUACCUCUCUUUAUACUCAUUCUGUAUCACGCACCCCUAUGAUAGCCACCCUCAACUUAGGCUAUUUGCCUAAGCCAAGGUGCACAGUAUCCAAGGAGGAUCAGGGCCAAAACAGGUUCAUUGUGAUCUAAAUGGGAAGAUGACAGGUGUCAUAAAAAGAAAUAGGUUAAUCAGGCUCAAAACAGGGAUCAAGGGGUAUUAUGGACAUAGGGAAGGUUAUUUAGGCUAAAAUGAGCUCAUAACCUCUAUCCUUCAACCCAAGUAAGACUAAUUGGGCAAGUUCUGGCUUCAGUAUACAGAUGGAACUAAGUAACAUCUCACACACACUUGGCACACAAAUAUAUCGCAAUCUACUACUCAUUCAGCUCAUGCAGCUGUUUAGCAAUGAUUAUUGUGUUACUAUAACUAAUGCCAUACAAAGAUGCACAGUGGUCACACUUAAAUGCAAAUCACACAGUUAAAGAAGUAGACCACUUGAAGAGGUGUACAAAAAUCACAAAACAAUUCAACGGCCUCAAGUACAAGUAUUUUUCGAAGUCGGCUACAAAAUUUUACAACAACAAUUUACCCUACACCCUCAACUUAAAAUCAAAGAAAAUCUAAAGUUAGGAUUAGAGUAUACUUGGAAUAGAUCAAUCCCGAGGGUCAUGGGUUUUCUCCCAUGCAGCGCCUUAUUUAACAUCGUGGCACGACUCAGGUAUCUCGAUUACUUCAGACUUCAUCGAGACAGAUAGUAGUAAUACUUUUCAUUGAUUCUUUUGGACCAAUAUAAAGUUUGACUCAUUGCCCAUUUACUUGGAAGGUACUGUCGUCUUUAUUUUCAAGUUCCACUACUCUAGAUGAGUAGACUUGACUAACUCUAAAAGGGCCUGACCACUUAGAUUUAAGCUUACGUAGGAACAGUUUAAGUCUGGAAUUGAACAAAAGCACCAAGUCACCCUUUAGAAAGUCUCGUUUCUCUAUCCUCCAAUCAUGGUAUUUUUUCAUAUUUUCUUUAUAUAGGUUUGCUCGUUCAUAUGCCCUGAGACGGAAUUCUUCCAUCUCAUUUAGUUGUCCCAGUCUCAGCUCUACUGCCUCCUUUCAACUCAAAUUCAGCCUUUUAAGUGCCCAAAAGGUGUUGUGCUCCAGCUCUAUUGGUAAGUGGCAAGCUUUUCCAUAGACCUACUGAAAUAGUGAUAUGUCAAUGGGUGUCUUGAAAGUAGUCCGAUAUGCCCACAAGGCAUCAUAAAGCUUUCGAGAUUAAUUUUUCUAACUAGCAUUCACCAUUUUGGCUAGAAUGGCUUUAAUCUCUCGAUUUGACACCUCCUGUUAAUCCUCAUAAUACACAUCAACUACUGAGAAGACACUCAUUUCUUCCUGCUGCUUUAUUGAUUCACACAUCAAACUGUACCACUUCAUCAUUCAUCCUGAAUAAGAGCUAAUUCGCUCUCAAAUCAAUCAACACACUUUCGAUUGCAAGAAAAGGUCGACCCAAGAUUAUGGUCACCUCAAACUCUACCUCGCAAUCCAGAAUGAUGAAAUCUGCAGGGAAUAUAAAGCUAGCUACCUUCACUAACACAUCAUACAAAAUGCCAACAGGUCAUUUUACUGACCUAUCCACUAUUAUGAGUAGCAUGUUGGUGGGUGUGGGAUUUCCCAGACCCAACUUCUUAUAUACAGCCAACGGCAUCAAAUUAAUGCUUGCUCCCAAAUACAUAAUGCCUUGGCGAAUUUCAUAGUCCCAAUUGUACAGGGAAUAGUGAAUGUGCCUGGGUCUGGCUUCUUCAACACCAAGGUCCUUGUAGAAAUAUCGCUACAAUGAUGGAGAUUAUCCUCCAAUUCGUAGCUCACUGCUCUUCUCUUAGUUAUAAGGUCCAUUAUAAAUUUAGCAUAUCCUGGCAUUUGUUCGAGGGCCUCCACCAAUGGCACAUUUAUUGUCAACUUCUUGAGCAUUGCCAUGAAUUUUUUGAAUUUUGCAUCAUCAGUUUUUUUCUUCAACCACUGAGGAAAGGGAGGUGGUGGUCUUGGGAUAGUUUUCAACACUACCUCCUUUUCCUUUUCUUUCUCUUUUUCCGGAGCAUCAUCAGAAUUAUCUAACUUCCCAGACUCCACUGGACCUCCUUCUUCCGGUUCAUCAUCAACUACAUGUUUUCCCACAGAAGGGACAGGUAAUAUCUCACCACUUCUAGUAGUAAUCGCCAUACAUGAGCCAUUAUUCUACAAAUUUUGGACCGUAUCACUUGGUAACGUUUCGCUCUUCCUUUGGUUGAAUGUUGCAGAGAGUUGGCUCAUCUGCUGCUCCAACUGUUUGAUUGCGGUAGAGUGCGAGUUUACCAACUGACUAAUAGAUGAUAGAUCAGUCUUCAUAGUAGUCACACCAGAGUUGGUAGCUUCUACUCCCUUAAAAAACUUAGCCAUCAUGUCUUCCACGGACAUCUUUUUAGAACUUGUUGUAGUAGCCUCACAAUUUCCAAGAGGGACAUAGAGCUCGCUCCUAUCAUUAUUGUUCCUUCAAUUUCCCUGCUUUCGAUUUUUAUAACCAGGCUUAUCAUAAUAAUUGCAACCUUGAUUCCUUUGGACAUUGCCUCGGAAACCCCCUUGAUUAUUAACAUAGUUUACCUCUUCUUCUGCAUCAGUAUUAACUCUAUCCUGAGAUCCCACAACUUUCACCUUCUCAGUCUUACCUGAUAGCAAUUGCUUGGUUAGCAAGUCCAUCUGCGUUUUAAGGUGAGCCAUGUCUUGGUCACACUCCUCAUCUCUUCUGCGUUGUUCUGCAGUAAUACCCCAGACACAGUGGGGUUAGCUACCACAGAGUCUCUGGUAUGCAUGCCCAACGCUGUUUGGUCAUUCUUUCUAGUAUCUAUGAAGCCUCUGGGAAUGUAAGAUCAACAAAUGAACCACCAGUAGCAUUAUCUAUAAUUAACUUUGUCACAGAGUUAAGAGCAUUGUACAAAGUCUCCAUCAAGUGUAUGUCUGUCAUAUUAUGGUUCGGACACUGUGUCAGCUUCUUCUUGAAUUUUUCCCAGGUUUCAUACAAGGCUUCAGUUGGGAGCUACCUAAAGUUGCCGAUCUCAUCCCUCAACGGUACCCUCCUGGAAGGCGGAAAGAACCUUUCUAGGAAACCUUCUUUCAACUGCCUUCAGUUGGUUAUAGAAUCGGGUGUCAGCUCAUUUAGCCACAAAUUUUCCUCCCCAAACAGAGACAACAAAAACAAUCUCAAUCAGAUAGUAUUCUGGCCCACUCCUGGGUUAUCAAAAGAUUUACAGAUGGUGAUAAAAUUCACUAGAUACAAGUUUGGGUCAUCCUCAGGAAGGACACGAAACAACCCCUUCAGAUUGAGGAGUUGAAUCAUAGUACUCGUAAUGUUGAAUUUAGCCCCAGGUGCCAACGGUGGAGGAAUGAUUGUACCCAUUGCACCUGCUCCGUCCAUUCCAUCAUCAUCAUCAUUGAUGUCAUACUGGACCGGCUGGUACUCUUGCUUUUCUCGGAACGGACGAUUCCUGUUAACAUUAUGUUGUACUGGUGCAGCUACUUGCUCUGCAUGCCUUGGGUUACCCAGGAUUUAGCAACUCCUCGUCUCCCAAAUCUUCAUCCUCAGGAUUUUGAUGUCGUGCUUGUUGAUCGACAUUUUGCACAUUCAACUGAGCUCUAGCUAAGGCUACCAAUCUAUCAGCCUCUUGUUGUUCUGCCAUUCUUCCAAUUCAUUGCAGUUCUGGAUUAAGUGGUAAUAAUGGUUCUCUGGAACUUCUGGUGCUUGGCAUAUACUACAAAGAUCCUGUAAUAAAAAAAACAACAAAUAAACGUAAAACUAGGAAACUUGACUAACAGUCAAUUAGUGCACCCAACUUCAAUUUACAACCGUAUUCUCCGGCAACAGCGCCAUUUUUGAUAACUCUCAAACUACACCUCUCUAAUGAGAAUGUAAGCGAUCGUUGUAAAUAUAAAACUCAACUAGGUUGGGGUCGAAUCCCACAGGUAAUAUGGUGCGAACUUAAGUCAUUUGCAAUUUAAUCAACUGAUAGCUGGAUGUUUCCUGAAAUGGGGUUUAGCAAGUAAUUGUUGGUCACUUUAGUUACAGUGUUCGUAAUCAAGAGUUUACGAAAAAAUCAAAAUUAUGUUUACUAGGAGUUUUGGUACUUGACAGAUGCUAAUGGUGGUUCAAGAUUCUCAUAGUAGGUAGGACAACAAGUUAUCUUUAUCGAAGUUAUGCCUAAAUGUCUCUCGACCUACUUAAGCAUUUAAUUACCUAAUACUCUCGAACUUAGAGAAUUUAUAUUCAUGACUAGAUUUUACCACAGGUUAAUCAACCUUGUUACAACGUCAAUUAUUAAAUAGAAGUUUUUAGUGCGUCCAAGUCCCUGUUAAUAAUUCACUUCCCACUAUAUUUGAUUUCUUUCUCAAGCAAAUCAAAGUAGGUGUUAUCUAUCGUUUGCAACCAAUAGAGGAUAAUUAAAAUCUCAGAAUUAUCAAGGAGUCCUACCACCUUUUGAAUCUUGAACACUCAACACCUUAUCAAGACUUAACCCUAGAUCCCAUAAUUCAGGUUAAAGGAAUCUAGCCGCUCAUGAUGUAAUAAUCAAAACAACUAGUUAUAUUCAUGAUUUGAAAGAUAAACUUACCAUAAGAUGAAUAAAAACUAGAGAUUCUUAGAUUAGAUCACAAUAGUAAUCCCAAUAUAAUGAUAAUAAUCUCUUCAAAGUAAUUGUUUGUUCAAGUCAAGAAACUAGAGACAGAAAAUAUCAAAAAUACGUGUCUUCAAAAGAUAUUUGGAACUCUCAAGAAAAUCCUAAAACAAGACUUUAAAUAGUUCAGCCUAAAUAACGAAACAAAAUCACAGAGUUUAAUAAUCCCUCGAAUUAGGUGACGACAUUCGUGACAACCUAUCAGGAGGCUGACGACUUAUCACAAAUGUCGUCAGCUUUUUUUGCUUUUGAUACUCGCUGCUUUAGGAUGACGACAAACUGUGACGUCCUAUAAACUUCUUGAUGACUUAUCACGAAUGUCGUCAAGUCUCUACCUUAGCUCCCAUGUUCUGCCUUAGGCUGACGGCAAUUUUGACGACCUAUCAGCUCCUUGACGGCUUAUCACAAAAUAUCGUCACAACUCUCAACUCAGGUGCAUUCUCUAUCUGAGGCUGAAGAUGAAGCUGAUAACUAAUCAUAGGGCUGACGACUUAACAAAAAUAUCGUCAGCCACACUUCUCUUUGAAUUACUUCAGAUUUCAACUCUUUUGCUUC
RNAcentral lists this long non-coding RNA (6512 nucleotides) under Capsicum annuum. RNAcentral describes it as "long non-coding RNA (CANN_LNC003303)". The record is from RNAcentral. Lineage: Eukaryota; Viridiplantae; Streptophyta; Magnoliopsida; Solanales; Solanaceae.